GGCCUCUAUCCUAUGGAUCAAAGAUGCAAAUUUAGCCUCUUCAACUAGGGAAGGUUGAACUUGAUAUACACCCCCUCUUGAAGGUGUGAGUCUAUCGGAUUCCCUAGUAAUCUCCCAUUAUAGGUUCUUCUCUGCUAGGUCCUCUAGAAAUUGUUAGGCUUCUAUAGGCUCUUUAUUCAUAAAUUGAUCCUGACACGUUGAUUCUAAUAUGGUUCUAGAGUUUAGAUCCAAUCCUUCAUAAAUAAUUUGGC
This 251-nucleotide long non-coding RNA is filed under the name Elaeis guineensis (African oil palm). RNAcentral's name for it is "long non-coding RNA (EGUI_LNC053249)". Lineage: Eukaryota; Viridiplantae; Streptophyta; Magnoliopsida; Arecales; Arecaceae. The record is from RNAcentral.